AGAAUCAACGCUGGCGGCGUGCCUAACACAUGCAAGUCGAACGCGAAAGUGGAGCAAUCCAUGAGUAGAGUGGCAAACGGGUGAGUAACGCGUGGGCGACCUGCCUUCGAGUGGGGGAUAACAUUCCGAAAGGGAUGCUAAUACCGCAUAACAUCCUUCGUUUAGAUACGAGGUGAUCAAAGCCGGGAGCAAUUCUGGCGCUUAAAGAGGGGCCCGCGUCCGAUUAGCUAGUUGGUGGGGUAACGGCCUACCAAGGCUUCGAUCGGUAUCCGGCCUGAGAGGGCGGACGGACACACUGGAACUGAGACACGGUCCAGACUCCUACGGGAGGCAGCAGUGGGGAAUUGUCGCAAUGGGCGCAAGCCUGACGACGCAACGCGCGUGGAGGAUGAAGACCUUCGGUCGUAAACUCCUUUCGACCGAGAAGAAUGGCUCACGACCUCAUACGUCGUGAGCAUGACGGUAUCGGAGGAAGAACGCCCGGACUAACCUCUGUGCCAGCA
RNAcentral lists this ribosomal RNA (503 nucleotides) under uncultured soil bacterium. RNAcentral's name for it is "bacterial SSU rRNA". It matches the Rfam family "Bacterial small subunit ribosomal RNA", at positions 26 to 513 of the family's 1533-position model. The record is from RNAcentral.